This 124-nucleotide ribosomal RNA is filed under the name Nocardioides sp. RNAcentral describes it as "partial 16S ribosomal RNA". It matches the Rfam family "Bacterial small subunit ribosomal RNA", at positions 368 to 504 of the family's 1533-position model. The record is from RNAcentral. Lineage: Bacteria; Bacillati; Actinomycetota; Actinomycetes; Propionibacteriales; Nocardioidaceae.
ACAAUGGGCGGAAGCCUGAUCCAGCAACGCCGCGUGAGGGAUGACGGCCUUCGGGUUGUAAACCUCUUUCAGUACCGACGAAGCGCAAGUGACGGUAGGUACAGAAGAAGCACCGGCCAACUAC